This 301-nucleotide ribosomal RNA is filed under the name uncultured bacterium. RNAcentral's name for it is "partial 16S ribosomal RNA". It matches the Rfam family "Bacterial small subunit ribosomal RNA", at positions 509 to 807 of the family's 1533-position model. The record is from RNAcentral.
CAGCCGCCACGGGAAUACGUAGGGUGCAAGCGUUAAUCGGAAUUACUGGGCGUAAAGCGUGCGCAGGCGGUUAUAUAAGACAGAUGUGAAAUCCCCGGGCUCAACCUGGGAACUGCAUUUGUGACUGUAUAGCUAGAGUACGGCAGAGGGGGAUGGAAUUCCGCGUGUAGCAGUGAAAUGCGUAGAUAUGCGGAGGAACACCGAUGGCGAAGGCAAUCCCCUGGGCCUGUACUGACGCUCAUGCACGAAAGCGUGGGGAGCAAACAGGAUUAGAGACCCCAGUAGUCCCUGUCUCUUAUAC